This 253-nucleotide ribosomal RNA is filed under the name uncultured bacterium. RNAcentral describes it as "partial 16S ribosomal RNA". It matches the Rfam family "Bacterial small subunit ribosomal RNA", at positions 524 to 776 of the family's 1533-position model. The record is from RNAcentral.
UACAGAGGGGGCAAGCGUUGUUCGGAAUUACUGGGCGUAAAGGGCUCGUAGGCGGCCAACUAAGUCGGAUGUGAAAUCCCCAGGCUUAACCUGGGAACUGCAUCCGAUACUGGAUGGCUUGAAUCCGGGAGAGGGAUGCAGAAUUCCAGGUGUAGCGGUGAAAUGCGUAGAUAUUAGGAAGAACACCAGUGGCGAAGGCGGCUCACUGGCCCGGUACUGACGCUGAGGCGCGAAAGCGUGGGGAGCAAACAGG